UGAGGAAUAUUGCGCAAUGGGGGCAACCCUGACGCAGCAACGCCGCGUGAGUGAGGAAGGUUUUCGGACCGUAAAGCUCUGUCGAGCGGGAAGAAAUGCAUGGUGGCUAAUAUCCAUCAUGCUUGACGGUACCGCUGAAGGAAGCACCGGCUAACUCCGUGCCAGCAGCCGCGGUAAUACGGGGGGUGCGAGCGUUGUUCGGAAUUAUUGGGCGUAAAGAGCGUGUAGGCGGCCGAAUAAGUCAGAUGUGAAAUCCCUGGGCUUAAGCCAGGACGUGCAUUUGAAACUAUUCGGCUAGAGUAGGGGAGAGGAAAGUGGAAUUCCUGGUGUAGAGGUGAAAUUCGUAGAUAUCAGGAGGAAUACCGGUGGCGAAGGCGACUUUCUGGCCCUAUACUGACGCUGAGACGCGAGAGCGUGGGUAGCAAACAG
This 429-nucleotide ribosomal RNA is filed under the name uncultured bacterium. Its description in RNAcentral is "bacterial SSU rRNA". It matches the Rfam family "Bacterial small subunit ribosomal RNA", at positions 355 to 775 of the family's 1533-position model. The record is from RNAcentral.